AGACGGUCUUGCUGUCACUUAUAGAUGGAUCCGCGCUGCAUUAGCUAGUUGGUAAGGUAACGGCUUACCAAGGCAACGAUGCAUAGCCGACCUGAGAGGGUGAUCGGCCACACUGGAACUGAGACACGGUCCAGACUCCUACGGGAGGCAGCAGUAGGGAAUCUUCCGCAAUGGGCGAAAGCCUGACGGAGCAACGCCGCGUGAGUGAUGAAGGUCUUCGGAUCGUAAAACUCUGUUAUUAGGGAAGAACAUAUGUGUAAGUAACUGUGCACAUCUUGACGGUACCUAAUCAGAAAGCCACGGCUAACUACGUGCCAGCAGCCGCGGUAAUACGUAGGUGGCAAGCGUUAUCCGGAAUUAUUGGGCGUAAAGCGCGCGUAGGCGGUUUUUUAAGUCUGAUGUGAAAGUCCACGGCUCAACCGU
Molecule: ribosomal RNA, 423 nt
Filed under: Staphylococcus aureus
Lineage: Bacteria; Bacillati; Bacillota; Bacilli; Caryophanales; Staphylococcaceae
Description: bacterial SSU rRNA
Rfam family: Bacterial small subunit ribosomal RNA
Source: RNAcentral